RNAcentral lists this ribosomal RNA (893 nucleotides) under uncultured bacterium. RNAcentral describes it as "bacterial SSU rRNA". It matches the Rfam family "Bacterial small subunit ribosomal RNA", at positions 505 to 1397 of the family's 1533-position model. The record is from RNAcentral.
GUGCCAGCCGCCGCGGUAAUACGGAGGAUGCGAGCGUUAUCCGGAUUCAUUGGGUUUAAAGGGUGCGCAGGCGGCGUUCCAAGUCAGCGGUCAAAUCCACGGGCUCAACCCGUGGCCGCCGUUGAUACUGGGGUGCUUGAGUAGGUGCGACGGAUGCGGAAUGCGUGGUGUAGCGGUGAAAUGCAUAGAUAUCACGCAGAACCCCGAUUGCGAAGGCAGCGUCCGAGCACCCGACUGACGCUGAGGCACGAAAGCGUGGGUAUCGAACAGGAUUAGAUACCCUGGUAGUCCACGCGGUAAACGAUGAAUACUGGUUAUCCGGUCUUUUUUGGGCUGGGUGACUCAAGCGAAAGCAUUAAGUAUUCCACCUGGGGAGUACGCCGGCAACGGUGAAACUCAAAGGAAUUGACGGGGGCCCGCACAAGCGGAGGAACAUGUGGUUUAAUUCGAUGAUACGCGAGGAACCUUACCCGGGCUCAAACGCAUGAGGACGUGUGCCGAAAGGCACAUUCCCUCCGGGGCUUCAUGCGAGGUGCUGCAUGGUUGUCGUCAGCUCGUGCCGUGAGGUGUCGGCUUAAGUGCCAUAACGAGCGCAACCCCCAUCUCCAGUUGCCAUCGCGUCAUGGCGGGCACUCUGGAGAGACUGCCGGCGCAAGCUGUGAGGAAGGCGGGGAUGACGUCAAAUCAGCACGGCCCUUACGUCCGGGGCGACACACGUGUUACAAUGGCGGGGCACAGAAGGAAGCCAGGCGGCGACGCCGAGCCGAUCCCGAAAACCCGUCUCAGUUCGGAUCGGAGUCUGCAACCCGACUCCGUGAAGCUGGAUUCGCUAGUAAUCGCGCAUCAGCCAUGGCGCGGUGAAUACGUUCCCGGGCCUUGUACACACCGCCCGU